Small nucleolar RNA from Equus caballus (horse), 154 nucleotides. Lineage: Eukaryota; Metazoa; Chordata; Mammalia; Perissodactyla; Equidae. The record is from Ensembl.
UCUGCACAUUGUUAGAGCUUGGAGUUGAGGCUGCUGGCUGGCCGAUGAACUCACAAGUGUAGGUAGUGUGCUACAUGAGGGGCAAGUUUUUCGCUAACACCACAAGGGUCUCUGGCCCAAUGAGUGGAGUUUGAUAGUAAUUCUUGCUACAAGU